GUAAGCUACUAAGAGCGAAUGGUGGAUGCCUUGACUGGUAAAGGCGAUGAAGGACGUACUAGACUGCGAUAAGCUACGGGGAGCUGUCAAGAAGCUUUGAUCCGUAGAUUUCCGAAUGGGGCAACCCAAUGUAUAGAGAUAUACAUUACCUAUAUAGGAGCGAACGAGGGGAAUUGAAACAUCUUAGUACCCUCAGGAAAAGAAAUCAAUAGAGAUUGCGUCAGUAGCGGCGAGCGAAAGCGCAAGAGGGCAAACCCAGUGCUUGCACUGGGGGUUGUAGGACUGCAAUGUGCAAGAGGUGAGUUUAGCAGAACAUUCUGGAAAGUAUAGCCAUAGAGGGUGAUAGUCCCGUAUGCGAAAAACAAACCUUAGCUAGCAGUAUCCUGAGUAGGGCGGGACACGAGAAAUCCUGUCUGAAGCUGGGUCGACCACGAUCCAACCCUAAAUACUAAUACCAGAUCGAUAGUGCACAAGUACCGUGAGGGAAAGGUGAAAAGAACUGAGGUGAUCAGAGUGAAAUAGAACCUGAAACCAUUUGCUUACAAUCAUUCAGAGCCCUAUGUAGCAAUACAGGGUGAUGGACUGCCUUUUGCAUAAUGAGCCUGCGAGUUGUGGUGUCUGGCAAGGUUAAGCAAACGCGAAGCCGUAGCGAAAGCGAGUCUGAAUAGGGCGCUUAGUCAGAUGCUGCAGACCCGAAACGAAGUGAUCUAUCCAUGAGCAAGUUGAAGCUAGUGUAAGAACUAGUGGAGGACUGAACCCAUAGGCGUUGAAAAGCCCCGGGAUGACUUGUGGAUAGGGGUGAAAGGCCAAUCAAACUUCGUGAUAGCUGGUUCUCUCCGAAAUAUAUUUAGGUAUAGCGUUGUGUCGUAAUAUAAGGGGGUAGAGCACUGAAUGGGCUAGGGCAUACACCAAUGUACCAAACCCUAUCAAACUCCGAAUACCUUAUAUGUAAUCACAGCAGUCAGGCGGCGAGUGAUAAAAUCCGUCGUCAAGAGGGAAACAACCCAGACUACCAGCUAAGGUCCCUAAAUCUUACUUAAGUGGAAAACGAUGUGAAGUUACUUAAACAACCAGGAGGUUGGCUUAGAAGCAGCCAUCCUUUAAAGAAAGCGUAAUAGCUCACUGGUCUAGUGAUUUUGCGCGGAAAAUAUAACGGGGCUAAAGUAAGUACCGAAGCUGUAGACUUGCGCACAACUUAGAUUAUUUAAGUUUAGAAUAUGAGAAACUAAGUUAUAUGUUUAGUUAUAUUUUUACUGAUUUUUAUAGAGUAAAGAUAGAAAUAAAACUUAGUAAAAUCAGUAAAAAUAUUCUUAGACUAAAGUUAAGUAGUUUAAGUUGUGUGCAAGUGGUAGGAGAGCGUUCUAUUUGCGUCGAAGGUAUACCGGUAAGGAGUGCUGGAGCGAAUAGAAGUGAGCAUGCAGGCAUGAGUAGCGAUAAUUAAUGUGAGAAUCAUUAACGCCGUAAACCCAAGGUUUCCUACGCGAUGCUCGUCAUCGUAGGGUUAGUCGGGUCCUAAGUCGAGUCCGAAAGGGGUAGACGAUGGCAAAUUGGUUAAUAUUCCAAUACCAACAUUAGUGUGCGAUGGAAGGACGCUUAGGGCUAAGGGGGCUAGCGGAUGGAAGUGCUAGUCUAAGGUCGUAGGAGGUUAUACAGGCAAAUCCGUAUAACAAUACUCCGAGAACUGAAAGGCUUUUUGAAGUCUUCGGAUGGAUAGAAGAACCCCUGAUGCCGUCGAGCCAAGAAAAGUUUCUAAGUUUAGCUAAUGUUGCCCGUACCGUAAACCGACACAGGUGGGUGGGAUGAGUAUUCUAAGGCGCGUGGAAGAACUCUCUUUAAGGAACUCUGCAAAAUAGCACCGUAUCUUCGGUAUAAGGUGUGGUUCGCUUCGUAUUAGGAUUUACUCCGAAAGCGAAGAAACUUACAACAAAGAGUCCCUCCCGACUGUUUACCAAAAACACAGCACUCUGCUAACUCGUAAGAGGAUGUAUAGGGUGUGACGCCUGCCCGGUGCUCGAAGGUUAAUUGAUGGGGUUAGCAUUAGCGAAGCUCUUGAUCGAAGCCCGAGUAAACGGCGGCCGUAACUAUAACGGUCCUAAGGUAGCGAAAUUCCUUGUCGGUUAAAUACCGACCUGCAUGAAUGGCGUAACGAGAUGGGAGCUGUCUCAAAGAGGGAUCCAGUGAAAUUGUAGUGGAGGUGAAAAUUCCUCCUACCCGCGGCAAGACGGAAAGACCCCGUGGACCUUUACUACAGCUUGACACUGCUAUUUGGAUAAGAAUGUGCAGGAUAGGUGGGAGGCUUUGAGUAUAUGACGCCAGUUGUAUAUGAGCCAUUGUUGAGAUACCACUCUUUCUUAUUUGGGUAGCUAACCAGCUUGAGUUAUCCUCAAGUGGGACAAUGUCUGGUGGGUAGUUUGACUGGGGCGGUCGCCUCCCAAAUAAUAACGGAGGCUUACAAAGGUUGGCUCAGAACGGUUGGAAAUCGUUCGUAGAGUAUAAAGGUAUAAGCCAGCUUAACUGCAAGACAUACAAGUCAAGCAGAGACGAAAGUCGGUCUUAGUGAUCCGGUGGUUCUGUGUGGAAGGGCCAUCGCUCAAAGGAUAAAAGGUACCCCGGGGAUAACAGGCUGAUCUCCCCCAAGAGCUCACAUCGACGGGGAGGUUUGGCACCUCGAUGUCGGCUCAUCGCAUCCUGGGGCUGGAGCAGGUCCCAAGGGUAUGGCUGUUCGCCAUUUAAAGCGGUACGCGAGCUGGGUUCAGA
This 2757-nucleotide ribosomal RNA is filed under the name Campylobacter coli. RNAcentral describes it as "partial 23S ribosomal RNA". It matches the Rfam family "Bacterial large subunit ribosomal RNA", at positions 1 to 2615 of the family's 2925-position model. Lineage: Bacteria; Pseudomonadati; Campylobacterota; Epsilonproteobacteria; Campylobacterales; Campylobacteraceae. The record is from RNAcentral.